UCCCCCAGUAGCGGCGAGCGAACGGGGAGGAGCCCAGAGCCUGAAUCAGCAUGUGUGUUAGUGGAAGCGUCUGGAAAGGCGCGCGAUACAGGGUGACAGCCCCGUACACAAAAGCGCACAUGCUGUGAGCUCGAUGAGUAGGGCGGGACACGUGGUAUCCUGUCUGAAUAUGGGGGGACCAUCCUCCAAGGCUAAAUACUCCUGACUGACCGAUAGUGAACCAGUACCGUGAGGGAAAGGCGAAAAGAACCCCGGCGAGGGGAGUGAAACAGAACCUGAAACCGUGUACGUACAAGCAGUGGGAGCCUCUCUUUAUGGGGGGUGACUGCGUACCUUUUGUAUAAUGGGUCAGCGACUUAUAUUCUGUAGCAAGGUUAACCGCAUAGGGGAGCCGAAGGGAAACCGAGUCUUAAUUGGGCGUUAAGUUGCAGGGUAUAGACCCGAAACCCGGUGAUCUAGCCAUGGGCAGGUUGAAGGUUGGGUAACACUAACUGGAGGACCGAACCGACUAAUGUUGAAAAAUUAGCGGAUGACCUGUGGCUGGGGGUGAAAGGCCAAUCAAACCGGGAGAUAGCUGGUUCUCCCCGAAAGCUAUUUAGGUAGCGCCUCGUGAACUCAUCUCCGGGGGUAGAGCACUGUUUCGGCUAGGGGGCCAUCCCGGCUUACCAACCCGAUGCAAACUGCGAAUACCGGAGAAUGUUAUCACGGGAGACACACGGCGGGUGCUAACGUCCGUCGUGAAGAGGGAAACAACCCAGACCGCCAGCUAAGGUCCCAAAGUCAUGGUUAAGUGGGAAACGAUGUGGGAAGGCCCAGACAGCCAGGAUGUUGGCUUAGAAGCAGCCAUCAUUUAAAGAAAGCGUAAUAGCUCACUGGUCGAGUCGGCCUGCGCGGAAGAUGUAACGGGGCUAAACCAUGCACCGAAGCUGCGGCAGCGACACUUUAGUGUUGUUGGGUAGGGGAGCGUUCUGUAAGCCGUUGAAGGUGUCCUGUGAGGGGUGCUGGAGGUAUCAGAAGUGCGAAUGCUGACAUAAGUAACGAUAAAGCGGGUGAAAAGCCCGCUCGCCGGAAGACCAAGGGUUCCUGUCCAACGUUAAUCGGGGCAGGGUGAGUCGACCCCUAAGGCGAGGCCGAAAGGCGUAGUCGAUGGGAAACGGGUUAAUAUUCCCGUACUUGGUGUUACUGCGAAGGGGGGACGGAGAAGG
Molecule: ribosomal RNA, 1205 nt
Filed under: Salmonella enterica
Lineage: Bacteria; Pseudomonadati; Pseudomonadota; Gammaproteobacteria; Enterobacterales; Enterobacteriaceae
Description: partial 23S ribosomal RNA
Rfam family: Bacterial large subunit ribosomal RNA
Source: RNAcentral